UUGCCGCGUGCGGGAUCUUUAGUUGCGACAUGCAGGAUCUAGUUCCCUGACCAGGGAUUGAACCCAGGCCCCCCUGCAUUGGAAUCGUGGAGUCUUAACUGCUGGACCACCAGGAUCCCCGUGGACAUCGAUAGUGACCAAGGAAUCUGCUUUAUUGACCAUGAAGUUCAGGAAUGGGCCGAUACAAAGGACAUACAGGGGCAUUUCCACCUGCCUUACAACCCCACUGCUACCGGGCUACGAAGAGACUACUUAAACAACAGUUGAGCUGCACUUCUACCUACCUGUCCUCGGGGAUAUAGCAGAAGAAGUACGGG
Molecule: long non-coding RNA, 317 nt
Organism: Orcinus orca (killer whale)
Lineage: Eukaryota; Metazoa; Chordata; Mammalia; Artiodactyla; Delphinidae
Exons: 3
Source: RefSeq, a predicted model, not a curated record